AGAGUUUGAUCCUGGCUCAGGACGAACGCUGGCGGCGUGCCUAAUACAUGCAAGUCGAACGCUUCUUUUUCCACCGGAGCUUGCUCCACCGGAAAAAGAGGAGUGGCGAACGGGUGAGUAACACGUGGGUAACCUGCCCAUCAGAAGGGGAUAACACUUGGAAACAGGUGCUAAUACCGUAUAACAAUCGAAACCGCAUGGUUUUGAUUUGAAAGGCGCUUUCGGGUGUCGCUGAUGGAUGGACCCGCGGUGCAUUAGCUAGUUGGUGAGGUAACGGCUCACCAAGGCCACGAUGCAUAGCCGACCUGAGAGGGUGAUCGGCCACAUUGGGACUGAGACACGGCCCAAACUCCUACGGGAGGCAGCAGUAGGGAAUCUUCGGCAAUGGACGAAAGUCUGACCGAGCAACGCCGCGUGAGUGAAGAAGGUUUUCGGAUCGUAAAACUCUGUUGUUAGAGAAGAACAAGGAUGAGAGUAACUGUUCAUCCCUUGACGGUAUCUAACCAGAAAGCCACGGCUAACUACGUGCCAGCAGCCGCGGUAAUACGUAGGUGGCAAGCGUUGUCCGGAUUUAUUGGGCGUAAAGCGAGCGCAGGCGGUUUCUUAAGUCUGAUGUGAAAGCCCCCGGCUCAACCGGGGAGGGUCAUUGGAAACUGGGAGACUUGAGUGCAGAAGAGGAGAGUGGAAUUCCAUGUGUAGCGGUGAAAUGCGUAGAUAUAUGGAGGAACACCAGUGGCGAAGGCGGCUCUCUGGUCUGUAACUGACGCUGAGGCUCGAAAGCGUGGGGAGCAAACAGGAUUAGAUACCCUGGUAGUCCACGCCGUAAACGAUGAGUGCUAAGUGUUGGAGGGUU
RNAcentral lists this ribosomal RNA (853 nucleotides) under Enterococcus faecium EnGen0036. RNAcentral's name for it is "bacterial SSU rRNA". It matches the Rfam family "Bacterial small subunit ribosomal RNA", at positions 8 to 832 of the family's 1533-position model. Lineage: Bacteria; Bacillati; Bacillota; Bacilli; Lactobacillales; Enterococcaceae. The record is from RNAcentral.